RNAcentral lists this ribosomal RNA (980 nucleotides) under uncultured bacterium. Its description in RNAcentral is "bacterial SSU rRNA". It matches the Rfam family "Bacterial small subunit ribosomal RNA", at positions 28 to 1012 of the family's 1533-position model. The record is from RNAcentral.
GAUGAACGCUAGCGGCAGGCUUAACACAUGCAAGUCGAGGGGUAGGAGAAGCUUGCUUUUCUGAGACCGGCGCACGGGUGCGUAACGCGUAUGCAAUCUACCUUUCACAGAGGGAUAGCCCAGAGAAAUUUGGAUUAAUACCUCAUAGUAAUACGACUUGGCAUCAAGAUGUAUUUAAAGAUUUAUCGGUGAAAGAUGAGCAUGCGUCCCAUUAGCUAGUUGGUAUGGUAACGGCAUACCAAGGCAACGAUGGGUAGGGGUCCUGAGAGGGAGAUCCCCCACACUGGUACUGAGACACGGACCAGACUCCUACGGGAGGCAGCAGUGAGGAAUAUUGGACAAUGGGCGCAAGCCUGAUCCAGCCAUGCCGCGUGCAGGAUGACGGUCCUAUGGAUUGUAAACUGCUUUUAUACAGGAAGAAACCCCUCUACGUGUAGAGACUUGACGGUACUGUAAGAAUAAGGAUCGGCUAACUCCGUGCCAGCAGCCGCGGUAAUACGGAGGAUCCAAGCGUUAUCCGGAAUCAUUGGGUUUAAAGGGUCCGUAGGCGGUCAGGUAAGUCAGUGGUGAAAGCCCAUCGCUCAACGGUGGAACGGCCAUUGAUACUGUCUGACUUGAAUUAUUAGGAAGUAACUAGAAUAUGUAGUGUAGCGGUGAAAUGCUUAGAGAUUACAUGGAAUACCAAUUGCGAAGGCAGGUUACUACUAAUUGAUUGACGCUGAUGGACGAAAGCGUGGGUAGCGAACAGGAUUAGAUACCCUGGUAGUCCACGCCGUAAACGAUGGAUACUAGCUGUUGGGAGCAAUCUCAGUGGCUAAGCGAAAGUGAUAAGUAUCCCACCUGGGGAGUACGAACGCAAGUUUGAAACUCAAAGGAAUUGACGGGGGCCCGCACAAGCGGUGGAGCAUGUGGUUUAAUUCGAUGAUACGCGAGGAACCUUACCAAGGCUUAAAUGUAGAUUGACCGGUUGGAAACAGACU